This is a long non-coding RNA of Telopea speciosissima, 156 nucleotides long. RefSeq lists it as uncharacterized. The transcript is spliced from 5 exons. NCBI's taxonomy places the organism in Eukaryota, Viridiplantae, Streptophyta, Magnoliopsida, Proteales, Proteaceae. The record is from RefSeq and is a predicted model, not a curated record.
AACAUUCGGAAAAGUACUAAAAGCGCAAUUAGUUCUGACUAGGAACUUACGGAGGGUACCUCCGAGAGCGCGGCUUCUGUUUCCAUUGCUUUCAUCUGCUCUGCAACUUGAGACCAAAGUGGAGAGUAGAAACCAAAGUACUCGAUGGCUGAAAGG